GAUCUCAUUCAACAUGUGGUUUCUCUUAUACAUUUUCAUUAUCAGCUGACUUGCAUGAGGAAAACAAAGUCAUGAUUGUAAGAUACUUGUGGUGAUAUUUAGCUUGUGGGUGUGACAUUAAUUUAUGCCUUAUACUGUAGUGAAUGCUUGGAAGAAAUAAGAUCUUCAGAAGGCUUAUUCACCACAAGACCCCGGAUUGCAGCAAUAAAUUCUCCACAAACCAGAUCUUCUGACUGAAUCCACAACCACUGUGGGUUCAACAACACAGACGCACAAGGAUCAACUUCUCUGCUAUUGUACUAUCUCUAUCUCUACCAAAUUUAAAACUACAUCCAAGCUCAAGGUUCAAGAUGAAUGCGUCCUGUGUCAUCUGGGGAAUCUUUUGGCUGAUUAUACUCCUUUUUAUUGGAUGGCCAAUUAGCAUGUUUUUGGGAGGACUGUAUGGAUUCUUCGCUCCUUUGAUCACUCUGAUAGGUCUAGAUGACUUUAGUGAACUUUUAUUGAAGGGGGUAAAUAUGGGAAGAGAAUGUGCUAUGAAUGUGCGAACAGGAAAGCCCCUCUUUUAAUAAUAAACCCUAUUACAAAUCAGGAAAUAAAGAUUCAUUCUGUGAUCUUUAAUGGACAUUGAAAGUAUUUGUGUACAUUCCUGUUUAUAGUAAAAUGAUAUUUAGGCUUUAAAUAAUACAUUAUUGAUAUUUUACAGUAUUGUAAAGAAAUAUAGUGUCAUUUCAUUUGUAAGCUGUAUGAAACCUGGGGAGUUCUGAAUAAGAACUUCAAAUAUUUGUGAGAUCUGGGUUUGAAGAGAACACCAUGUUUGCAGCUCUGAAAACUUAUGUAUUAAUACCUCUCCUUAGAUACAGUGAUGAAACUUGCAUUCCUCUUAGGGGGGAAGUUGGCUUUUGGCUUCUUAUUCUGCCUUAUAAAUUAUCAAAAGUUCAAAGUCUAAUUGUUUAUUAGUUUCAUUUCCAAACACAGUCAAUGUAUUAAUCUGUAUUAUUAUCACUAAUGUUCAUUAUAUAUAAAUUUUAUAUAAAUAUAUGUAUGGAAGUUCUUUUUAAUGAUUUAUAGAUAUGUUAUCGCUUAUGAUAAAUAAAACAUAACUUGACUGGA
Molecule: long non-coding RNA, 1110 nt
Organism: Pantherophis guttatus
Lineage: Eukaryota; Metazoa; Chordata; Lepidosauria; Squamata; Colubridae
Source: RefSeq, a predicted model, not a curated record